This 2902-nucleotide ribosomal RNA is filed under the name Escherichia coli 201600.1. RNAcentral describes it as "bacterial LSU rRNA". It matches the Rfam family "Bacterial large subunit ribosomal RNA". Lineage: Bacteria; Pseudomonadati; Pseudomonadota; Gammaproteobacteria; Enterobacterales; Enterobacteriaceae. The record is from RNAcentral.
UUAAGCGACUAAGCGUACACGGUGGAUGCCCUGGCAGUCAGAGGCGAUGAAGGACGUGCUAAUCUGCGAUAAGCGUCGGUAAGGUGAUAUGAACCGUUAUAACCGGCGAUUUCCGAAUGGGGAAACCCAGUGUGUUUCGACACACUAUCAUUAACUGAAUCCAUAGGUUAAUGAGGCGAACCGGGGGAACUGAAACAUCUAAGUACCCCGAGGAAAAGAAAUCAACCGAGAUUCCCCCAGUAGCGGCGAGCGAACGGGGAGCAGCCCAGAGCCUGAAUCAGUGUGUGUGUUAGUGGAAGCGUCUGGAAAGGCGCGCGAUACAGGGUGACAGCCCCGUACACAAAAAUGCACAUGCUGUGAGCUCGAUGAGUAGGGCGGGACACGUGGUAUCCUGUCUGAAUAUGGGGGGACCAUCCUCCAAGGCUAAAUACUCCUGACUGACCGAUAGUGAACCAGUACCGUGAGGGAAAGGCGAAAAGAACCCCGGCGAGGGGAGUGAAAAAGAACCUGAAACCGUGUACGUACAAGCAGUGGGAGCCUCUUUUAUGGGGUGACUGCGUACCUUUUGUAUAAUGGGUCAGCGACUUAUAUUCUGUAGCAAGGUUAACCGAAUAGGGGAGCCGAAGGGAAACCGAGUCUUAACUGGGCGUUAAGUUGCAGGGUAUAGACCCGAAACCCGGUGAUCUAGCCAUGGGCAGGUUGAAGGUUGGGUAACACUAACUGGAGGACCGAACCGACUAACGUUGAAAAAUUAGCGGAUGACUUGUGGCUGGGGGUGAAAGGCCAAUCAAACCGGGAGAUAGCUGGUUCUCCCCGAAAGCUAUUUAGGUAGCGCCUCGUGAAUUCAUCUCCGGGGGUAGAGCACUGUUUCGGCAAGGGGGUCAUCCCGACUUACCAACCCGAUGCAAACUGCGAAUACCGGAGAAUGUUAUCACGGGAGACACACGGCGGGUGCUAACGUCCGUCGUGAAGAGGGAAACAACCCAGACCGCCAGCUAAGGUCCCAAAGUCAUGGUUAAGUGGGAAACGAUGUGGGAAGGCCCAGACAGCCAGGAUGUUGGCUUAGAAGCAGCCAUCAUUUAAAGAAAGCGUAAUAGCUCACUGGUCGAGUCGGCCUGCGCGGAAGAUGUAACGGGGCUAAACCAUGCACCGAAGCUGCAGCAGCGACGCUGAUGCGUUGUUGGGUAGGGGAGCGUUCUGUAAGCCUGUGAAGGUGUGCUGUGAGGCAUGCUGGAGGUAUCAGAAGUGCGAAUGCUGACAUAAGUAACGAUAAAGCGGGUGAAAAGCCCGCUCGCCGGAAGACCAAGGGUUCCUGUCCAACGUUAAUCGGGGCAGGGUGAGUCGACCCCUAAGGCGAGGCCGAAAGGCGUAGUCGAUGGGAAACAGGUUAAUAUUCCUGUACUUGGUGUUACUGCGAAGGGGGGACGGAGAAGGCUAUGUUGGCCGGGCGACGGUUGUCCCGGUUUAAGCGUGUAGGCUGGUUUUCCAGGCAAAUCCGGAAAAUCAAGGCUGAGGCGUGAUGACGAGGCACUACGGUGCUGAAGCAACAAAUGCCCUGCUUCCAGGAAAAGCCUCUAAGCAUCAGGUAACAUCAAAUCGUACCCCAAACCGACACAGGUGGUCAGGUAGAGAAUACCAAGGCGCUUGAGAGAACUCGGGUGAAGGAACUAGGCAAAAUGGUGCCGUAACUUCGGGAGAAGGCACGCUGAUAUGUAGGUGAAGUCCCUUGCGGAUGGAGCUGAAAUCAGUCGAAGAUACCAGCUGGCUGCAACUGUUUAUUAAAAACACAGCACUGUGCAAACACGAAAGUGGACGUAUACGGUGUGACGCCUGCCCGGUGCCGGAAGGUUAAUUGAUGGGGUCAGCGCAAGCGAAGCUCUUGAUCGAAGCCCCGGUAAACGGCGGCCGUAACUAUAACGGUCCUAAGGUAGCGAAAUUCCUUGUCGGGUAAGUUCCGACCUGCACGAAUGGCGUAAUGAUGGCCAGGCUGUCUCCACCCGAGACUCAGUGAAAUUGAACUCGCUGUGAAGAUGCAGUGUACCCGCGGCAAGACGGAAAGACCCCGUGAACCUUUACUAUAGCUUGACACUGAACAUUGAGCCUUGAUGUGUAGGAUAGGUGGGAGGCUUAGAAGUGUGGACGCCAGUCUGCAUGGAGCCGACCUUGAAAUACCACCCUUUAAUGUUUGAUGUUCUAACGUUGACCCGUAAUCCGGGUUGCGGACAGUGUCUGGUGGGUAGUUUGACUGGGGCGGUCUCCUCCUAAAGAGUAACGGAGGAGCACGAAGGUUGGCUAAUCCUGGUCGGACAUCAGGAGGUUAGUGCAAUGGCAUAAGCCAGCUUGACUGCGAGCGUGACGGCGCGAGCAGGUGCGAAAGCAGGUCAUAGUGAUCCGGUGGUUCUGAAUGGAAGGGCCAUCGCUCAACGGAUAAAAGGUACUCCGGGGAUAACAGGCUGAUACCGCCCAAGAGUUCAUAUCGACGGCGGUGUUUGGCACCUCGAUGUCGGCUCAUCACAUCCUGGGGCUGAAGUAGGUCCCAAGGGUAUGGCUGUUCGCCAUUUAAAGUGGUACGCGAGCUGGGUUUAGAACGUCGUGAGACAGUUCGGUCCCUAUCUGCCGUGGGCGCUGGAGAACUGAGGGGGGCUGCUCCUAGUACGAGAGGACCGGAGUGGACGCAUCACUGGUGUUCGGGUUGUCAUGCCAAUGGCACUGCCCGGUAGCUAAAUGCGGAAGAGAUAAGUGCUGAAAGCAUCUAAGCACGAAACUUGCCCCGAGAUGAGUUCUCCCUGACUCCUUGAGAGUCAUGAAGGAACGUUGAAGACGACGACGUUGAUAGGCCGGGUGUGUAAGCGCAGCGAUGCGUUGAGCUAACCGGUACUAAUGAACCGUGAGGCUUAACCUU